AAAAUGAUAACAUUAAACUGUAAACUGUAUGGAAAAAUGGUAAAGCUGUGCAAAAGGAGAGGUGUACAGGUUUAUUCAUAUUGUAGGAUGUAGGUAAUGUCCAGCAUCCUAUUCACAGUGAAGAGUUCCUCAAAAGUUGUUCAAACUCACCUUUGGAUAGUUUUGCAGCCAGAGACAAAAUGUAAGAGAGAUCUAUUGCUUGGCUUUGCUCUGUCUAAGGAUUGUCCCCAAACCUUUGUGGUGUUAAUAUACCUUAGUGGCAUUAAUAUCUCCUUAGUAAUAGGGAAGUCUUGCAGUGUGGUAGCCUGGGUACUCAUAAACCUUGUGCUGCUAUAACACAUAAUCUCAUUUAGAACUGCAUUUGCAUAUAGCAGGAUCAUUUGGUUCUUAUGUUUAGUUCCACAGGAUGGACCAAUGACAGCAUCCAACUCUUCUUGGACUUGUUCUGCAGAACAAAAGGGCUAAUAAUGAGUAUUUAAGAAGAUGCACCAUCAUGGAGAGCUCAGCAUAAGGUGAUGGUGGUGUCUGAGCCCACUAUGAAGGGAUACAUGAUCUCUGAGAUCUGUGAUGUAGAGGUGCGCAUCAACUCUGAUGAUUACUGACACUUGCAACACCUUCCCAAAACAAGCAGAACUCUGGGGAAGAGAAACUUCUGUCUUAGAGCAACCUGCAAAAUCGUAACACCGCAGGACUCCUCUGUCUCAACCUUUCUACAUCUGUAGGAUAUGAUCUUCAAGCAGUUGUUUAACUGGUUCUCUUGGGAACAGCUACAUAGAACCAAAGGCACUUACAGGAGGUUGGGAGGUGGUACCCAAAUUAAGCAUGUCAUUCACAAUUCCUCUGAAUCAUGUUCUUUACAUGAUCCUCAUAGAUAAAUGAUUGGUGUAAGUGCAGCAAAACCACUAAUCAAUAUUUUCUGGUCUGUACUCUGUUGGAUUGUACCAAUGUCUCUUUUGAGGGUGAUAACAGAAAGCAGCAGCCCACAGCCAGUGAAAGUGUACAAUGGAAGUGGUAAUCCUGGCAGCUUUAGUAGUAAGAUAGGUAAUACCAUUUCCUCUCUGCAACUCUAAUCACAAGAAAACAGAAGUGAAGCUUUCUACAGCAGAAAAGAGAUUACAUCCUUUUAACUGCCUUUUUUGUAACCUUGCACUAUUACUGCAAUCAAUAAUUUCAAGAAAGCUUAUUCCCUAAUUCUUAUAUCUUGUAUAGUGAUAUGGUCAUCUCUGCAUGCUCUGCUGCACAUUAACAAGCUACAUAUAACAAACCCCUUUGAAGGAAUAUCGAGUGCUAAUGUAUGAUAGCACAGGUUGUUCCCAGGUUCCCAGCACUGAUGCGUUGACACUGAACAACACUGAAACAGGGGAAAAUUCUAAAGUCUUACCUGGCACUUGACAAAACCUCUGAAAAUUUGCUGAAAUUUAGUGGGGCCUCUGGGACUUCCACACUUGGUCUGCUGGCAUCCCACAGGGCUUAUAUUUAACAUCGCCUGGUAUGGAUUUGUCUCUUCAGGAGCACCUCUCCUGUGUCAUCUGAGAGCAUACCAGUUGCCAAGGAAGCUCAGAAUUAAAAGAGAAAUGGUAAAUUCUGAUAAUUGCAAUGUUAGAAAGUAUAGAAACAAUGAAGUAGGAAAAUACAUGUGAAAUAGAUCCCUUCUGCAGGCAGACACCAGGUCUCCUCUCGGUCAUCCAUUCACUGCCUUAACUAUAAGCCAGCAGUGGCAGAUCCUGUCUUAGACCAGACCCAGUUCUGAGUCACCAUGGCUCUGACAACAAUACCUACCAACAGUUUGGACCUCACUAUGGCAGUGGGGUCUUCAUUCUCCUUCCUUCUGCAUAUGUUUAAGAGCAUUUGUCCUUGUUGCAGCUUGGGUAACUGGCAGGCACAGUUAACAGCACAAAGAAUUCACCCUCUCAGUUUGUGUAUUUCUUGGACACACAUCGCCUGUGGCAUGUUGAUUUCCUUACAUGGGAACCAUCUUCCUAAUCAGAAGAUCAUUCAAUACUGGUUUUACCUGGUUUCUCUUUUCCCAGGAUGGUAGGACUGUCUCUCCUAGAUGAUAUGGCUUUCCACAUAACAGUCUCCAUGGCUCUUCGCAAACAAGCAACAUUUGCAUUAGAAAAUUUAGAAAAUUAGAAAUCAGGUUUGUGUAACACUUCUGAUUCAUUCUGAGUCAAAGUGCUGGGUUGUGUCCUUGAAGGCAAAACACAUACCUCUUUGAAUGCCAGAGUUGCCAGUCAUUUUCCCCUCCUCUAGCAGCUUGAGAAUCCAGGCCACUCUGUGACAUCCUUAAGUCAUGUCUCUCCUUUUGCUGCAUUCUGGAGAGAAUUUUUUACUGAGAAUUUCUUAUUCAUGAGGUCACACUGGAGAGCGAUAGACCUUAAAGAAUAAUGGGCUGGGGAAGAGUGGGUCCUUAACUGAAAUGUACUAGUGACUAUAUAUAUUACCACCAAAUAUGGCAAAAGGAAGAUAGGUAGGCUGGUGUCAUUUAGGCUGGUAUUUUUUUAAGGAGAGAGGCUUAAAUAAAACCAUAUUUACUGCGCAGAGUGCCACAGAUUUUUCUGGAAGUUCAGUCCUGCUGAAUACCUUACCACUUUACCUCUGUAACUUUAUUUUAACUCUGAAACCUCUCCAUUAGGCUGCCUGCAGUAAUAAACUGAAGUUUUUCAAAUUGAUUUAGCUAUUCCCUGAGGGUUAAAAUACUGCUUUCUUAACUCAGUUUUGUCUGAGUCACACACACUCCAUUUUCAUUCCCUCUUAGGCUCGGAAGGCUCCCCUAAAUCCACCUUUUUCUCCAUGAACUCUGGCAGUGAUGUAUAUUUUUGCAAGAGUAAGCUA
Long non-coding RNA from Pezoporus flaviventris, 2835 nucleotides. RefSeq lists it as uncharacterized. The record is from RefSeq and is a predicted model, not a curated record. The transcript has 4 exons. Lineage: Eukaryota; Metazoa; Chordata; Aves; Psittaciformes; Psittacidae.